UACGUAGGUGGCGAGCGUUGUCCGGAUUUACUGGGCGUAAAGAGCGCGCAGGCGGUCGUUCAAGUCGCGUGUGAAAGCCCCCGGCUCAACUGGGGAGGGUCACGCGAUACUGAUCGACUCGAAGGCAGGAGAGGGAAGUGGAAUUCCCGGUGUAGUGGUGAAAUGCGUAGAUAUCGGGAGGAACACCAGUGGCGAAGGUGACUUCCUGGCCUGUUCUUGACGCUGAGGCGCGAAAGCUAGGGGAGCAAACGGGG
RNAcentral lists this ribosomal RNA (254 nucleotides) under uncultured bacterium. RNAcentral describes it as "partial 16S ribosomal RNA". It matches the Rfam family "Bacterial small subunit ribosomal RNA", at positions 524 to 777 of the family's 1533-position model. The record is from RNAcentral.